This is a small nucleolar RNA of Malania oleifera, 107 nucleotides long. The record is from RefSeq and is a predicted model, not a curated record. NCBI's taxonomy places the organism in Eukaryota, Viridiplantae, Streptophyta, Magnoliopsida, Santalales, Ximeniaceae.
AAACUGUGAUAUGGACAGAUAUUUAUCAAAUCCUUGAACCUCUCCUAACAAGCCUAGAAAGUUUCGUCACCUUUCUGCAUGAACUUACUGAUUGCUCUUGCAAGAAC